RNAcentral lists this ribosomal RNA (305 nucleotides) under uncultured bacterium. RNAcentral describes it as "bacterial SSU rRNA". It matches the Rfam family "Bacterial small subunit ribosomal RNA", at positions 333 to 655 of the family's 1533-position model. The record is from RNAcentral.
UGCUCCCUACGGGGCGCAGCAGUGGGGAAUAUUGCGCAAUGGGCGAAAGCCUGACGCAGCGACGCCGCGUGAGCGAUGAAGUAUUUCGGUAUGUAAAGCUCUAUCAGCAGGGAAGAAAAUGACGGUACCUGACUAAGAAGCCCCGGCUAACUACGUGCCAGCAGCCGCGGUAAUACGUAGGGGGCAAGCGUUAUCCGGAUUUACUGGGUGUAAAGGGAGCGUAGACGGUCCUGCAAGCCAGAUGUGAAAGCCCGGGGCUCAACCCCGGGACUGCAUUUGGAACUGUAAGGCUAGAGUGUCGGAGC